CGGGUGAGUAACACGUGAGUGACCUGCCUUUUAGACUGGAACAACUUACCGAAAGGUGAGCUAAUGCCGGAUGAGUUAUAUAAGUGCAUGUUUAUAUAGGAAAAGUUGGGGAGACCUGACGCUGAAAGAUGGACUCGCGUCCCAUUAGCUAGUUGGUAGGGUAAUGGCCUACCAAGGCGACGAUGGGUAGCCGGCCUGAGGAGGGUGGCCGGCCACACUGGGACUGAGACACGGCCCAGACUCCUACGGGAGGCAGCAG
RNAcentral lists this ribosomal RNA (259 nucleotides) under uncultured bacterium. Its description in RNAcentral is "partial 16S ribosomal RNA". It matches the Rfam family "Bacterial small subunit ribosomal RNA", at positions 103 to 354 of the family's 1533-position model. The record is from RNAcentral.